AAUGCCAGAGCCCCUUUUAAUUGUAUUAGUAAAACCCUAAGGUAUUAUAAGAGAAGGCAACGGCAACUCACUCCAGUAUUCUUGCCUGGAAAAUCCCAAGGAUGGAGGAGCCUGGUAGGCUGCAGUCCAUGGGGUCACAAAGAGUUGGACACGACUGAAGUGACGCAACAGCAGCAGCAACAGCAGCAAGUUCUGUUGCCCAAAUACGGGACAAUAAAAACCCCUCUAAGUAGAGGUUUGGAGAGUCUGAAUAUUUCCAGGAAAACCCAUAGAAGGGUCUUUUUCAAACCACAGAUAGGGGCAGAAAAGUAGGUGAGUAGAAAUAUCAGAAGUUUCUAACUUUGGUUUUUUAACUUUGGGAUAUGAACUGCUGAUUCAUUUUGGUAGCAGGAAAGUCCUUCUAAACUACAGUAGUACUAAGUGCUAACUACAGACUUAGGGCUUCCCAGGUGGCGCAGUGGUAAAGAAUCUGCCUGUCAAGGCAGGAGAUGCAAGAAUUGCCUGUUGGAUCAUUGGGUUGGGAAGAUCCGCUGGAGUAGGAAAUGGCAACUGACUCUAGUACUCUUGCCUGGAAAAUUCCAUGGACAGAGGAGUCUGGCAAGCCACAGUCCAUGGGAUUGCAAAGAAUUGGACACAAUUGAGUGACUGAGCAUGCAAAAAAAAAGUUAAUCCUACUCUUGGGUUUUAGAAGAAAAGACAUGUACAUUGAAAACAAGCACU
Bos grunniens (domestic yak) is the source of this 720-nucleotide long non-coding RNA. The record is from Ensembl. Lineage: Eukaryota; Metazoa; Chordata; Mammalia; Artiodactyla; Bovidae.